This 253-nucleotide ribosomal RNA is filed under the name uncultured bacterium. RNAcentral describes it as "partial 16S ribosomal RNA". It matches the Rfam family "Bacterial small subunit ribosomal RNA", at positions 524 to 776 of the family's 1533-position model. The record is from RNAcentral. RNAcentral also lists the same sequence under 1 other name.
UACGUAGGGGGCAAGCGUUGUCCGGAUUUAUUGGGCGUAAAGAGCGUGUAGGCGGCUUGGUAGGUCCGCUGUGAAAACUCGAGGCUCAACCUCGAGAUGUCGGCGGAAACCACUUGGCUAGAGUCCGGAAGAGGAGAGUGGAAUUCCUGGUGUAGCGGUGAAAUGCGCAGAUAUCAGGAAGAACACCUAUGGCGAAGGCAGCUCUCUGGGACGGUACUGACGCUGAGACGCGAAAGCGUGGGGAGCGAACAGG